UUUCUUUUCAUGAAAUGAUGCUUUCUCAACCGCUGCUGUCACUUCAGGGAUAUUAUUUGCUUUAAGCAGUUGUAGUCCAUGAAGAUAAUAUAGCUUAUGUCUUAGUCUCCUUGCUUAGCAUUGGGCUGUGCACAAAGAAGGGCCUUAAUAAAUAUUAGUAGAUGUGAUUUAAUAUGGCGUCUUAGCUAACAGCCCUCAUGGCACAGUUUACAUAAGAAUGCAAGCCCUCUCUAGCUUUAAAAUUAAAUAGUCACAAAUAGAUGCAGUAUACACACAUAAUUCUAUGCUCAGAUAUGCAUUCAUGCACGCACACAGAUGGCACCUAAGCAAAUGCACAUGGCAUGCAGACAAGCGUGGCCAUGCACACCCACUUGCAGACUUUCACUUCCCCCUCCCUGUAAUCAAGAAGAUGGAGGAAGAAUCCGCCUGUAGGAUGAGUCACAGAGGCAGUCGGGAUAAAGGGCAGGAUUCAGCAUCCCUGGGGAAUCUUUAUUUAUAGCACUGGCUGCUAGGAAGGGGGCUGAAAUCAUUCCUAAGGAGCUUCAGUUGAUGGAGAGUGAUAAGAUAACCAAGAGAUGUCAUUCCCACCAUCACGCUCUCUUAGAAGCAGACGCCUGUUGCUGCCUGAGCCCAGUGAAGUGCUGUGUCACUCCAGGGCUGUGGUCCAUGGGGAGGGGUUGCUGACUGCAUUCUAGCCGGUCCAUCGGCAGGGGCUGCUGGGCCCCUUUCCCUGGUGUGCAAUCUCUAUGCUAAUCCGAGCAAAUCCUCCCAGCUCCAAACAAACAGAAACCUUUGGGCCUGCAGAGGCCACUGAUCACAGAGGAUACUGUUUAGAUUAAAAUGAUACAGUCUAAUCCACUGGCCCAAUGGUCCUACCUCCGUCAACGGUGUGGUUCCUGUAAUGAGCAGAGUAAGUGGCAAUGCAACACCAGGCUCAACCUGCCCUCCCAAGGGCCAGGGCUGGGUAGAAAGAAGUUAGCUCUUUGCUGGGCUUUGAGGGACACUGGCCAAGUCUGGAAGGAGAGGUGGGCAGUGAGGUAUUUAACUGAAGACUCUGGGUCUCAUCUCCUGUUGUACUUGAGUCACCCAGAAUACUGUUUGAUAUAGAGGCAGUACCUAGAAUACCUUAGCUGACAACUGGACACAUGCAUGAUCUCUUUAAUUCUCUAGUAUAUGAGGAUGCCAGUUAAUGGUUCUUAGGUAAGAUGCAUGCUAGAGAGAAAAGAACAUUUUCAAGAAGGCCAGGAAGACCAGAGCGCUAAUCCUGCCUCUUCUCCUAGAAGACUUUGGGUAGUUCACGCCUCAGUUUGCUGAUCUAUGAAAUGGGAACUCACUGAUACCUACUAUGUUUGUGGGGCUGUGUUAAGGAUUACAGAUGAUACUUCACUCUGUUAUGUGCUACCUAAGAGAUAUAUGCUACUAUCAUCCAAUAACACUUUAGUUGAAUUAAGUGGCCAGAUUGCACCUGACAGGGAACAGGGGAUAGCCCCCUCCCCAAGACUGUCUGGGACUGUUUGUUCUACUGGUCCCUUACUUUUGAGCCCUUCUGAGUGGCCUGGAACCCUGCUCUGAGUGUAGUUCUCCUCUUAGCUCUCAUGGUUCUCAGUUGGCUCAGGUGUGAGCCUAGACUUAGCUGAGGUGGGAGAUCCCUUGAACUGGAUACUUGCCAUUUAGUGAGACCCUGUGUCCUGCUCUCACAUGCUCUUCCUCUUGGCUCUUAACCUUCACUUUGGCUCCUGGCCCUGAAUGUGGCAUAGGUAAGAGCUGCUGCUUAUCUUUGAACCCUUAAUUCAAGUGGGUCAUUCCGGGCUUGCUGGUCCUGACCAUCUGGACAUGUCAGGGUUGCCUGAUGCUGAUCUGGUGACUGGUCUUGCCAGUUCCCUCCUCUGACUCUCAGAUCUAGUUCAGCCCUGGAGUCCUGACAGGACCAAGCUGAAGAGCUCUGAACCUGUUCUAGGAUACAGAGCACCUAGCUUGAGCCAGCACUUGAGCCUUGAAGUUUUUUCUGGGAGGAAGUCAGAGGGCAAGGGAGAGUAGAAAGUGACUCUGGGGAGAAAAUGAAGAAUGAAGAAGUAGAGGACAGUCACUUUGUGAUAUAAUACCCAUCCUUAUCCUCAGGAUGAAUAAUGGUCAUUCCAGCUACCAUUAAAACACCACUUCUUAGACUGAAAGAAUAACAGAGUGGUCACUAAAAGCUUAAGGUUUUAGACCUGAGCUUGAAACCUGGCUCUGUCACUAGCUAGUUCAGACAUGUUGCACUGUCUUUCUGAGCUUCAGGUUUCUUAGUUGUACAAUGCUGUCAGGAACAGUACCUUCCUCCUAGGGCUGUUGGGAGCAUUAAAUGAGAUGAUGGAUGGAAAGCACUUGGCACAGUUCCUAGCACACAGUAGGCAGUCUAUAAAAUGGUGAGUAUGAUGACAAAUUUGUUCUUUGAUCCCUGCACUGGUGGCUACUCAGGGUUGUCAGGAGUAUCUGAUACGAUAGUGAAUUUGGAAGUGUUUAGGAGCCUGGAGAGUAUGAUGUCAAUACAGAGCAUUGAAAUAAUUAUUUCAUUUCUUAGUUUUUGAAAUCUGCUAACUGAUGUGCUGUUGGACGUGGAUUGGGCACCUGGCACAGAGAGGGAAUAAAGGACACUCCCAGACUAGGCUCAUGUAUGACAUUUUGGUCUGGUGCAAUGGGAUGGAAGCAGCUUUGACAGGGUCUUCCUAUAGUCCCAGGGCCAUCUGGGGCCACCAACAUCACCCAGUCCUUCCAGCUUAGCAGAGUGUGUUGUAAGUGGGGAAGGCACCUUGGACCAGGAGUUAAAGCUUUAUUUGUGAACCAUUCCCAGAGUCUAUGGCUCUGAGGCUGUCUGGGACUAAUGGAGCCAAGGAAGAGGUGACAAGGGACCAGGCAACAAGCCCUGAUUUAUGACCUGAGGCUCUAAUUCCAGAAGCUGCAUCAUCAGUUCCUUUGGGAAAGAGCCUUAGGCAGAUGAAUGGCCCUUCCAGCUGCAGGACUGAGUCCCAGGCCUGCUCCCAUGGGCAAUUGCUUUUUACGCAUGCCUUAGGGAGAAGAAAACAUGGACAGCAAAUUCUGGGACUGUGUCAGGAUGGAACCUGCCCUCCUAUUGGCCAGGAGAACACAAGCACUAGGCCCCUAACUGUGGCAAGGGGUGGUAGAGUUCAUGGCAAGAUGAUCCUACUGUCAGCUGGGCAAAAUGGAGUGCAUAAGAAGAGAAAAGUGAUUAUUUUGUAUCCCAGGCUCAUUGUAGAAACCCUAUAGACAUUGCAGGGGUUGAUUCUGCUCAGCCUUGUUUCAAUUCUUCCCCAGCAUCCCAGCUGACAUAGGGUCAUUUUAAUACAAUCAUGCCCUUGUAUGGCCAUGCCUUUCAUAGGUGGUAGGUGUUACAAAAGGUCACCGUCAAUUUCUCCACUAAGUUCCAUUACCAGAGGUUCCCUUCUCUUAUCCUUGCAUCACUAUGGUUCAGGCUCUAAGAACAGGAGUGAGGAGAAUUUUGUCCUACCAAACAUCCAUGAGGCUAGGAAGUCCUAUGUGACUUCAUUAGUGCUGAGGAGACACAAAUGUUAUCUGGGAUCAAGCCUCCCGAGUCUUAUCCAGUUCAAUAAGUGCUCAUUUCUUUUCAGCAGAAUAAAAAUAUCCUAUAAAAAAAGACACUGUUUGAAGAAAGAGGCUUGCACUGAGGUAAGAGCAUUUCUGUGCUAAGAGCAUUGUGGAGGGUGGGUAAGUUCAAACACAUACCCCUAUUGAAGGUGAUGGACAUUUUAGACCCUUGCCAAACUAACCUGUGGACUCUGCUCCCCCAAGCAAGUCUAGAGUCCUUGUGUCCCUGUGUGAUCCAGGAAAGUGGCUUAAUUUAGUCUAUAGGCCAUAAAAUUGGACAUCUUCACGUUUGCUUCUAGGUCAUCAAAAAGUUUCCAGAGUGCCUCUGUUGAAAGACGUCAGAGAAGAGCUAACAUGGACUUCAUGCAGUGUACUGUACACAGUCCAGCGAUGCCCUUCGAUGACAGGGGAGGAUGAGUCACCACCGGCUUCGGGGAUUGAGAAGAAAUGUCAGUGCAGUCAUGAAUAAUAGGUGCUGUACUAACACCUAAGAAGGUUAAGGGCAGGAAUUAGUUGGCAAGGAAGAAAACAGUAUGUGGGGGAGGCCAGCUACCAUCCUACAGAACUUCUGUAGCUCACUGCCAUCUGAUUGGAUAGCCAAGGAAAAAAGGGAUUCUCUUUCAUAUUAAAGGAAAAAAUAUUGGUGUGUUGGAGAGAAGGGUCCUUUUUCAAGGGUGGAGAGGUGGACUUGAUGGCUUCUAGAAGCCACUUCAUUAUGGCCAGGAGAGCUAGCAGGCAGAAAUUGAUGAGUUUAAGCACUUUUCUAAGCAUUUUGGGUGCCUCAAAAGGACAUUCUGCAAAAAAGGCAUAGCCCAAACUUGGCUAUAUCCAGGUAGACCUUAACAUGAAGAAGUGCUAUGGACCCUAACAGGAAGAAGUACUAGGAUGUGUUUCAGUCCUCACAAUUAAGAAAGUAAGUGGUUCAGAAGACAGUCCCUACCCUCUGCAUAAGAAACAGGAGGUGAAGUUAAAGAGCUGGGGAUAGUAUUUCUACAGACCUUUUCUUUUUAUAUAAUUAUUUUUAUUUUUUUCCAUUAUAGCUGGUUUACAGUGUUCUGUCAAUUUUCUGCUGUACA
This 4679-nucleotide long non-coding RNA is filed under the name Sus scrofa (pig). Its description in RNAcentral is "lncRNA (ENSSSCG00005042899.1)". Lineage: Eukaryota; Metazoa; Chordata; Mammalia; Artiodactyla; Suidae. The record is from RNAcentral.